RNAcentral lists this long non-coding RNA (1827 nucleotides) under Mus musculus (house mouse). RNAcentral describes it as "long non-coding RNA chr3:67337728-67339555". The record is from RNAcentral. Lineage: Eukaryota; Metazoa; Chordata; Mammalia; Rodentia; Muridae.
GAACUCAAGCAGGUCAGGAAGCAGGAGUUGGUUCAGAGGCCAUGGAGGGAUGUUCUUUACUGGCUUGCUUCCCCUGGCUUGCUCAGCCUGCUCUCUUAUAGAACCCAAGACUACCAGCUCAGAGAUGGCCCCACCCACAAGGGGCCUUUCCCCCUUGAUCACUAAUUGAGAAAAUGCCCCACAGCUGGAGCUCAUGGAGGCAUUUCCUCAACUGGAGCUCCUUUCUCUGUGAUAACUCCAGCCUGUGUUAAGUCGACACACAAAACCAGCCAGUGCACACUAUAUUCCAAUUAAAAUGCUACAAUUUAAAAUCUAACCAAAUGAUGAAGAUAAUGAACAACUAUUUUAUAUAUUGUGUUGGGAGUGUAAAGUGAUACAGCUGAUUUUUAGAACAGUUUGGCGAUUUGUGGUGGCAGUGCAAGGGACUGAAUCCAGGACCUCAGACUUUAGUCAAGCACUCUACCGUUGAACUACAGUUGCAUCUAGCUUGCCAAUUCAGCAUACGUUCCAUAAAUCCUAGCCACUGCAAUGCUAAGAUAAUAUUGAUCAGCCAAAACUGUCCUUAAGGACACGGUUGGAUGACACAGGAGGGUUACAGCAUUUGCCAUGCGUGUCUGAUUUCCCAAGUUCAGUCCUAGAACCCUUGGUAGGAAGAAAGAACUGCCUCUGGAAAGUUGUUCUCUUACCUCCACACAUACACUAUGACACACGCACAUCAUACACAAAACAAAAUCAAAAUUCCAUGGAAAAUUUUAUCCAUGAAUAUUAUGGUAACUGUGUUACACAAAACCAGAAACAGCAUGUAUCUGCUGAUGAAUACGUGAGUGAAAACAGUUACAGUUAUCCAUUCACUGGACUUCCACCAUUCCCCAAAGCACACUAAAACAUGUAAAACAAUGUGGUUCUUAGCUCAAACACAUGCUGAGUAUAAGACGUCAGGUGUGUCAUUUACAUUAAAUCCUAGACAUUGCAGACUACUGUACACUGGCAGAAAGCAGACUCUGAUGACUUGGGUCAGGGUAGGGGUGAAGGUUGACUAAAGAGGAGCACCAUGACAUUUGGUGACUGUGAGACAGUCUGUAUCUUGGUCAUGGUGGUACUUACCCAGGGUUAGCAUUUACCAAGUGGGAACUGAGUGGAGGGAUCACUUGAUCCCCAAACUUUUAACUUUUGGUAAUCAAUAAUGUCCCCCAUUUAAAAGUUUAAGUCAUUUUCUGUCUUAUUUCAUUUACAGGAUCCCCUGACUGCACGAGGUGUUUCCUCAGCCUUUGAAUCUCUGAUACUAUUUCAUGGCAAAUACUUAUGAUUCUAUGUAGUUAUAUAUAUCUUGGAACUUUUAUACGUAAUUUUAGUUUCUCAAAGAGAUAGAUUAAGGAUGGUAACAAAUGAAAAAACAUCAGUUUUGCUUUUUGGGUUUUUUUGGUUUUUGGGUUGGUUUUUUUUUUUUUUUUUUUUUUGGUUUGGGUUUUUUUGUUUGUUUGGGGUUUUUUUGUUUGUUUGUUUAAACAUAGCAUUUUGCUACAAUGUGAUACAGCAUUUUAAAAGAAAUAUAAAACUGUAAGUAUUAUAAACAAUAAAUACUUAAAAUUACAGCUUUAAAAUAAGCUUUAGUAAGGCCUAACUUAACACUGUGAGCUUUUCCUUCUAAGUUUCUUGAUCCAAAUACAACAUGCUUAUUUAAAAAAAUAUAUUAGAAUUCAUAGUUUUCUACUGACUGCCUUGAUGUUCAAAUAUGAUUAUGUUAAGUAUCUACUUAUGACAUAAAGGCAUCCCAGGUAUUAACCUCUCUCCUAUCCUCACUGUUCCUGGUCCAGAAAAAAAAAGUAU